This 240-nucleotide unclassified non-coding RNA is filed under the name uncultured fungus. RNAcentral's name for it is "sequence contains ITS1, 5.8S rRNA gene". The stretch from base 192 to 240 matches the Rfam family "5.8S ribosomal RNA", at positions 1 to 49 of the family's 154-position model. The record is from RNAcentral. Lineage: Eukaryota; Fungi.
UCUCCGUAGGUGAACCUGCGGAGGGAUCAUUAAGAAUUGAACAGCAGUGUCUGGCACUGUUGCCCAUUCUAACCCUUUGUGAACUACAACUCUGUUGCUUCGGGGGCGACCCCGCCGUUUCGGCGGUGCGGCGCCCCCGAAGGUCUCCAAACACUGCAUCUUUGCGUCGGAGUUUAAAACAAAUUAAACAAAACUUUCAACAACGGAUCUCUUGGUUCUGGCAUCGAUGAAGAACGCAGC